GGAGAAGAAAGCUAAGUCUGGGACAGGUUUGCAGGAAAGAGAGCUCCUUCCUGCCUCAGGAUGUGGUUGCAGAGGCUCCUGCCUUCAGUUUCCAGCCUCCAGGAGGAAAGGAAAGGCUAUGAAGAUACUUUUCUCUUUUCCAAUUACAAAACUGUUUGAAGACUUUCUGCAUAUACUUCACCAAAAAAGCAUGGCACAACAGAAUAAAUUCAGAAGCAGUUAUGAGAAUCCAGUGAUCUUCUUUCAGGCAAGACAUUAAUGAGACUUGCAAAAAUAUAAAACAGUGUCACUC
Canis lupus familiaris (dog) is the source of this 292-nucleotide long non-coding RNA. RefSeq lists it as uncharacterized. The record is from RefSeq and is a predicted model, not a curated record. The transcript has 2 exons. Lineage: Eukaryota; Metazoa; Chordata; Mammalia; Carnivora; Canidae.